RNAcentral lists this small RNA (1113 nucleotides) under Cryptococcus neoformans H99. RNAcentral describes it as "Cryptococcus neoformans var. grubii H99 hypothetical RNA". Lineage: Eukaryota; Fungi; Basidiomycota; Tremellomycetes; Tremellales; Cryptococcaceae. The record is from RNAcentral.
GAUCACUCCGACAGUCAUCUCACCCACCAUUACCGGUAUCGCGUAGUAAUAGAACAUGAUCCAUAGCGAGCUAUUGGCUACACCCACUACUACUAGGCAGACCUCACAUAGCUAUUCACCCCGCAUAAUAGCGAAAACUACGUACACCCCCGUAAUCACUUAGUGGCGAGUGUAUGCCGGCCUCCCCCUACUACGCCUGGCUACUACACUUCUCCGCCACAUGAUUACUAUCCCAACGGGAGGGUGUAUCCCCGAUUGCUAGGGGAGUACUCGUGGUUGGGACCAACUAAUCCACCCUUGAAGCUACAACUGACAUGGCCGAUUAGCAAAUUCGCGAAGAGAUUAGUGUACAUAUAUACAAGCCACAGAUUUCUCGCUGUCGACAAGUGGUUUGGAAGGAAGUAUUGCUAGGCCAAUGUACUCUAACCAGUUGUAUGCUCCAAAGCCUAGCACCAAUGCUCCUAUAGUGAAAUAAAUGUUGGGUGAUGCCUCAAGUCAUCCAUCAGCAAAUCAUGGCGAUCCGCGGAUCCAUAGAUAUGGUCAACUGCUCAUCCAUAGAUUGUCUACCACUACUUCAACAUAAUUCAUAAGCCUUACAACAACCCUCAUACUCUCAAAUACGUCAAAUAAUUCCUAAUUAAUUAUUAUUUCUGUUUGAUAAAGUUUGAGGCUCAUUUUGAUCUCUUCAUCCAAUACCAUUGGCGAAGUAGCCCGAUAGUUAAAUUCCUUGAGCGUCUUCCCUUCGACCUGACCUGCCAGUUCUACAAGAAGAGUGGCAGUUAAAGGGCCAUGCACAAGGGGUCCUCUCUGCUCUUCUUUUGAUACGGACCAAUCCUGAUCGUAAUGGAUCUUGUGGGGGUUAUGUGUUAACGCGGAGUAAAGGAAAAGUAAAGGGGAAGUUGGAGUAUAAGAGAAUCGAUAGGAGGCGUCAUCUUUGUCGACAUGGCUAUUCAGAUGAGAAUAGGAAGAAUGAGCAGGGGAUGAACCUGCUAAAUAUUGCAAACAAACAAAUCGUCAGCGGCCGUUCCUCUGGAUACUUCGCAUUGGAGUUUUGCUGUGAGCUUAUUGGAGCCUGGCGCCAUAAAGCGUCUUGUCUCGAUGAGGACAUACCCG